GCGAUGAGCUGAAUUGCGUAAGCCGGCAAGGCAACCUUUUUGGAAUGCACAAUGUGGAGUGCAAGCCUUAGCCGCCGCAACACAAGAUCGGAAAAAAGCGCCCCGGACCGGGCGCUUUUU
Molecule: small RNA, 120 nt
Filed under: Heyndrickxia coagulans DSM 1 = ATCC 7050
Lineage: Bacteria; Bacillati; Bacillota; Bacilli; Caryophanales; Bacillaceae
Description: Bacillus coagulans DSM 1 = ATCC 7050 BsrF
Rfam family: BsrF
Source: RNAcentral